GGGUAUAUAGCUGAAGCGGUAAAGUGCAUGCUUAGCAUGCAUGAGUUCCUAGGUUCAAUUCCCAGUACCUCCA
Molecule: transfer RNA, 73 nt
Filed under: Camelus bactrianus (Bactrian camel)
Lineage: Eukaryota; Metazoa; Chordata; Mammalia; Artiodactyla; Camelidae
Also listed under: 2 other names
Rfam family: tRNA
About the family: Transfer RNA (tRNA) molecules are approximately 80 nucleotides in length. Their secondary structure includes four short double-helical elements and three loops (D, anti-codon, and T loops). Further hydrogen bonds mediate the characteristic L-shaped molecular structure. tRNAs have two regions of fundamental functional importance: the anti-codon, which is responsible for specific mRNA codon recognition, and the 3' end, to which the tRNAs corresponding amino acid is attached (by aminoacyl-tRNA synthetases). tRNAs cope with the degeneracy of the genetic code in two manners: having more than one tRNA (with a specific anti-codon) for a particular amino acid; and 'wobble' base-pairing, i.e. permitting non-standard base-pairing at the 3rd anti-codon position.
Source: Rfam by way of RNAcentral